RNAcentral lists this ribosomal RNA (484 nucleotides) under uncultured bacterium. RNAcentral's name for it is "bacterial SSU rRNA". It matches the Rfam family "Bacterial small subunit ribosomal RNA", at positions 28 to 507 of the family's 1533-position model. The record is from RNAcentral.
GAUGAACGCUAGCGGCAGGCCUAAUACAUGCAAGCUGAACGGUAAAUAUUGUAGCAAUACAAUAUGAGAGUAGCGUAAGGGUGCGUAACACGUAUGCAAUCUGCCCUGUACAGGAGGAUAGCUCGGGGAAACCCGGAUUAAUACUCCGUAAUAUUAUUGGGAGGCAUCUCUUGAUAAUUAAAGUCGCAAGACGGUAUGGGAUGAGCAUGCGUCUGAUUAGCUAGUUGGUGGUGUAACGGACCACCAAGGCGAUGAUCAGUAGGGGAACUGAGAGGUUGAUCCCCCACACUGGCACUGAGAUACGGGCCAGACUCCUACGGGAGGCAGCAGUAGGGAAUAUUGGUCAAUGGAUGCAAGUCUGAACCAGCCAUGCCGCGUGCAGGAAGAAGGCCUUCUGGGUUGUAAACUGCUUUUGCCGGGGGAUAAAAAGUCCAUGCGUGGACGAUUGAAGGUACCCGGUGAAUAAGCCACGGCUAACUACGUG